UACAUGUGGGGCAAGCGUUGUUCGGAAUUACUGGGCAUAAAGGGUGCGUAGGCGGCCUACUAAGUCGGACGUGAAAUCCCUCGGCUCAACCGAGGAACUGCGUCCGAUACUGGCGAGGCUUGAAUUCGGGAGAGGGAUGUGGAAUUCCAGGUGUAGCGGUGAAAUGCGUAGAUAUCUGGAGGAACACCGGUGGCGAAGGCGGCAUCCUGGACCGACACUGACGCUGAGGCGCGAAAGCCAGGGGAGCAAACGGG
This 254-nucleotide ribosomal RNA is filed under the name uncultured bacterium. RNAcentral describes it as "partial 16S ribosomal RNA". It matches the Rfam family "Bacterial small subunit ribosomal RNA", at positions 524 to 776 of the family's 1533-position model. The record is from RNAcentral.